This 654-nucleotide long non-coding RNA is filed under the name Astyanax mexicanus (Mexican tetra). Its description in RNAcentral is "lncRNA (ENSAMXG00005012843.1)". The record is from RNAcentral. Lineage: Eukaryota; Metazoa; Chordata; Actinopteri; Characiformes; Acestrorhamphidae.
CUCUCUCUCUCUUUUUUUCUCACUCUCUGUCACUCUCUCGCUUUGCCCUCCUCCAAAAAGAGACCACUCUUGUCCUGCGCUGAGUGUUUUCAUUAGGAAAAGAGGCAAAACGCAGAGUGAAAAAGAGAGAGACAGAAAAGCAGUGACUGAGGAGGGAAAGAGAGAAAGAGAGUCACGAACAGCUAGAAGCCCACCACAAGUUUUAAGCUGGAUUUUGUAUCAGCUCUGAGUCAUGGCCCAGUGCUCCACCUGCAUCAGCCUCUUACUGCUCCUGAUUGGUCAGAUUUCUGCAGAGACUCAGUCUGAUCCAGCACGAAGAGACUCCAUCACAGCAACCUGCAAGGACCAAAACUCACUCAGCAACAGACUGGAUGCAGUGGAAAAGGUAACCCUCCCUCUCCAUUUCUGUCACAACAUGUAGAUCUCUGGUGAAAUUCUAACUGCCCUGAACAGUGUGAAGAUUUUACUGCAUUGCUGACAUUUUACUGCAGUCAGUCCCAGGGCAGGAUGAGGGAUCAGGUGUUGGCUGCAGGCCUUAAUUAUUUUUUCUCUGGGCAGCAACACUGACUGAUACCCUCAGGUCUCUAUCAGCAAUUAGUGGCUCUUAGCUAAAUUAAACUCUGUUAGAGCAACCAUGGGAAAACUCAGUGCCUG